GGGAGCGACUUGGCUUCGACAGGAGUAAGUCUGCUUAGAUGGCAUGUCGCUUUGGGCAAAGCGUAAAAAGCCCAAAUAAAAUUAAACGCAAACAACGUUAAAUUCGCUCCUGCUUACGCUAAAGCUGCGUAAGUUCAGUUGAGCCUGAAAUUUAAGUCAUACUAUCUAGCUUAAUUUUCGGUCAUUUUUGAUAGUGUAGCCUUGCGUUUGACAAGCGUUGAGGUGAAAUAAAGUCUUAGCCUUGCUUUUGAGUUUUGGAAGAUGAGCGAAGUAGGGUGAAGUAGUCAUCUUUGCUAAGCAUGUAGAGGUCUUUGUGGAAUUAUUUUUGGACAGGGGUUCGAUUCCCCUCGCUUCCACCA
This 359-nucleotide transfer-messenger RNA is filed under the name Campylobacter coli. It matches the Rfam family "transfer-messenger RNA". Rfam says of the family: Bacterial tmRNA, also known as 10Sa RNA or SsrA, is named for its dual tRNA and mRNA-like properties. Its role is to liberate the mRNA from a stalled ribosome. RNAcentral also lists the same sequence under 3 other names. Lineage: Bacteria; Pseudomonadati; Campylobacterota; Epsilonproteobacteria; Campylobacterales; Campylobacteraceae. The record is from RNAcentral.